AGAGACACAGGCGUAUGUGUCAGCCAUGUGUGACACACGGCCAGGCGAUAUAGCCAUGUGUCCCCUAUAACUUACAAAGGGUUGCAAGUCAGGCAGUUACACGGCUUGGCACACGGGAGUGUGGCUUGGCCAUGUGACCCAAGUCAGAAAGUUACACGGGCAUAGACACGGGUUGGGACACGGUUAUGUGUCCCUAUUUCGAA
This 203-nucleotide long non-coding RNA is filed under the name Gossypium barbadense (sea-island cotton). RNAcentral describes it as "long non-coding RNA (GBAR_LNC022852)". Lineage: Eukaryota; Viridiplantae; Streptophyta; Magnoliopsida; Malvales; Malvaceae. The record is from RNAcentral.